GCCUGGCUAGCUCAGUCGGUAGAGCAUGAGACUCUUAAUCUGAGGAACAUGGGUUUGUGCCCUACGGUGGGCA
This 73-nucleotide transfer RNA is filed under the name Neotoma lepida (desert woodrat). It matches the Rfam family "tRNA". From Rfam's summary of the family: Transfer RNA (tRNA) molecules are approximately 80 nucleotides in length. Their secondary structure includes four short double-helical elements and three loops (D, anti-codon, and T loops). Lineage: Eukaryota; Metazoa; Chordata; Mammalia; Rodentia; Cricetidae. The record is from Rfam by way of RNAcentral.